Arachis ipaensis is the source of this 1017-nucleotide non-coding RNA. NCBI's taxonomy places the organism in Eukaryota, Viridiplantae, Streptophyta, Magnoliopsida, Fabales, Fabaceae. The record is from RefSeq and is a predicted model, not a curated record.
CCGGCGGUGACCACAGCCACUGUCGCUGCUGACCUUGAGGGAAAACGAGAUUGAGAGAGAGAGACACGCACAGAACGCGCGAUGCGAGGAAGAGAAGGAGCUCAUCUUCGUUGCCGCCGUCGCCGCGCCUUGCCGAUGCUGCCUUUGAUGGAAGCCGCCAGUGUCGCUGGAAGGAACCAAACAGGGAGAGGAGAUCACUGUUGAUGUUACCGCAGAGAGGAAGGAAGGGACGCGUGUGAGAAAGUGACACAACAGAGGAGGAGUCAUUCCUCUGCCGCCACCGCCUUCGGAAUUCCUGGUCACCGCCGUCGUUCAUGGUGUAUGAUAAUGAAAUUAUGAUCAUGAACUAAUGAUCAUGUGAAUGUUUGAUUAAUGUGUGGUAAGUAUGGUAGAAUGCUAUUCGCGAAGGAUAUAGACGGUAUACCCCUAAUGCCGGAACAUUUGAAUUGUGCAGAGCGAUUUGUCAUAAGUUGAAGGAGGAGAAUGGAAUUACAUAUACUCUUGAUCAGAUUGUGGUAAGCAAUGGAGCAAAGCAGAGUAUUGCUCAGGCAGUGCUUGUAGUUUGUUCUCCCGGCGAUGAGGUAUGUAAUGGCUCUUUACCUUACUUGCGAAGACAUUAUGCCAGUUAAAGAAAAAUGGUGAGUGUGCUUUAAAUUAGUGUUGAAAUACAGGGUUAGGGGAUAAAAUUGACUUCACCAUUUAAUAUCUUGUUUCUCAUUGCUUUUGAGUUUUUGGGGGUGAAAUUUCUAUUGUGAUUCAAAGACCAAACAAAGGGUGCAAUAAAAUUUGUGUUAGUUUUUCUUAUAGAUUAGAGAUCUUUGUAGAAAAGAUAAAGUAUCAAAACUCUUUAGGGUUUUCUUUCUGAAUUUGUUCAUGAAAUUACUGUUUGAUUUGUUCUUUUGUUUAUCAAAACUCUUUUUUUUUGUUCUUGAAUUGAAUGUGGAUUGCAGAAGUGUUAAUUGAAUUGUGUUGUCUUUUCUCUUCUACAGGUGUAAUUCUUGACUUUUUUAAUUUUCU